This 429-nucleotide ribosomal RNA is filed under the name bacterium. RNAcentral's name for it is "partial 16S ribosomal RNA". It matches the Rfam family "Bacterial small subunit ribosomal RNA", at positions 355 to 776 of the family's 1533-position model. The record is from RNAcentral.
UAGGGAAUCUUCCACAAUGGACGCAAGUCUGAUGGAGCAACGCCGCGUGAGUGAAGAAGGUUUUCGGAUCGUAAAGCUCUGUUGUUGGUGAAGAAGGAUAGAGGUAGUAACUGGCCUUUAUUUGACGGUAAUCAACCAGAAAGUCACGGCUAACUACGUGCCAGCAGCCGCGGUAAUACGUAGGUGGCAAGCGUUGUCCGGAUUUAUUGGGCGUAAAGCGAGCGCAGGCGGAAGAAUAAGUCUGAUGUGAAAGCCCUCGGCUUAACCGGGGAACUGCAUCGGAAACUGUUUUUCUUGAGUGCAGAAGAGGAGAGUGGAAUUCCAUGUGUAGCGGUGGAAUGCGUAGAUAUAUGGAAGAACACCAGUGGCGAAGGCGACUCUCUGGUCUGCAACUGACGCUGAGGCGCGAAAGCAUGGGUAGCGAACAGG